UGCCUUGCCUGUGCCCCGGUCAACGACUCAGCCUUCUGUCCCCGACCACGAGUUUAGCCUCUGCUUCCUCUGGUUUCCGUCUGCCUGAUCCCCUGCCUGUUUCCCAAUGAAUGGAUUCCAAGGUCCGACCAGAAAGACGUAUUGUUGAUUAGACAUGUGGAGGAAGAGGACGACGAUGAUGAUGAGCAGCAUCUUCCUGUUCCUGUCCCUACACUUCCUGAUCUCAUCCACCUUACUGCUGAUCAGCAAACCCAGAUAUGACCCGGCGUAUGAACCCUACUCAGCCGGAGUGGAGUGAGGAGGCAGCGUGUGCUUUCAUGGACCUCAAGGAUGCACUGAAUGCCUCAGAGCGAGGUUUGGGAGCUGUGCUUUUGCAGGGAGAGCACAACGAUCGUCACCCAGUGGCUUACAUCAGCCGGAAGUUGUUCCCAAUGGAGACUCGUUAUUCCACAGUGGAGAAAGGAUGUGUGGCAGUAAAAUGGGCCCUGGACUCCCUAAAUUAUUACCUUUUUAGGAAGAGAGUUCAUCUUGGAAACUGACCAUAAAGCCCUGAAGUGGAUAGAAGGAUGCUAACAGCUGCAUUACC
Long non-coding RNA from Anoplopoma fimbria (sablefish), 586 nucleotides. RefSeq lists it as uncharacterized. The transcript is spliced from 4 exons. NCBI's taxonomy places the organism in Eukaryota, Metazoa, Chordata, Actinopteri, Perciformes, Anoplopomatidae. The record is from RefSeq and is a predicted model, not a curated record.